Molecule: long non-coding RNA, 1854 nt
Organism: Lates calcarifer (barramundi perch)
Lineage: Eukaryota; Metazoa; Chordata; Actinopteri; Centropomidae
Exons: 4
Source: RefSeq, a predicted model, not a curated record
AUUCCCGUCAGUGAGGAUGUGGAUGUGAAACGGCGUCAAACAGAAGUUAUCCUGCUGGGACCGAAAAAGAAAGUCAGAGGAUGGAGGUCUUGGAUCUGUGGGCUCCUCAGUCUGAACCACAGCUGGAAAACAUGGCUGCAGAGUCCAGAGAACAAAUCAAAUCCACCUGUCAGAGCAGAGCCAGAGACGCCUGCUGUCUGUGACUGUAAAGGAUCCUGAUCCUGAUCCACCUGCUCCUCCAGGAUCCCAGAGGACCACGUCAUCAAUGAGACGUCAGAGUUAAAGGAUCAUUGUCCUAAAGCUCAGCAGCAGAUCAUCUGUUGGACUCUGUGAUUAAAUGUGUUGACCAGCAGGAGGCGCUCUACAUGACAGAAAACUGAAAAGUGCUGACCACAGCCUUCAGCAGGAGACUGUACAGAGAACAAAGUGUGAGCGUUUGUUUUCCCCUCUGAGGACACUGACAUGAUCCCAUGUUCACCCUGAAGCUCUGCUUCUGUAAAUGACUUAAAGAGUCAGGACCAGCUUCAGACUCUGUGUCUCUGUUGGAAUCAGCAGCUGCUGUAGAACUGAACUCAAACCCAUUGAAGCUGAAACCCAGAGCACAGGUGACUGAAUGAGUCCACCAGAGGGCAGCACCUCUUCUUCUUCUGUCAUGUACAGUGUUUAACUUUAACAUUUAACUGUGUGUUGGACUCACACAACAUGUUUGUGCUUGUCAUUGUUCCCAGACAGAUGGUGAGAGAUACAGCAGGUGUGAUCAAUCUGCAGUAACAGACCUGACAAUGAAAACUGAUAAUGAUCUUUAUGCCAGUGAGCCGACAUCAGGUCAUCUAAAUAUCACCUCCUCAUGUAGUUCAGAUGAGGACACAGAAAACACUGGGUGUUUGUCUGACUGGGUUUAUCACCAGCAUGUCCAACAGUGACUGAACAAACAGGUUAUUUCAUUUGCUGCCAUCAUAUAUUGUCCUGCUUCUCAGCUGACAUGUCUCUUAAUUAUCAGAAAACUCUGGCGUGUAAUCAACAGAAACUUGUUUGUGGGAUCAAUAGCAUAACUGAAAAAAUAACAAAGGUGUGUUCUCACGCAACUCACAAUGAUCUUUCACUUUGUCUUUCUAUUUGUGAUCAUCUGAGUUUAAUCUUUGUUUCCCUGUGUCACGCACAUGUGUAUUUAUCAUGUUUUAUGUGUAUUUUUUAUGUGUAUUUACUACAAAGCAAAACACUUUAAAUUAACACCAGCACCAAUUGCUAACACAUCUUUAACCACUGCCACAGAGUAGUUCUCUCAUAAAGAUUUCUCUGUGUUUUUUACCUCAACCUCCACCAUUAAACUUAACUGCCAUUUCUUAAUUACAUGAGGCUGACAGGCUGACAUCUCCACAGUGGAAAUGUUUGAAGCAAUGAAGUCUAGACACUGAAAGCUCCAGGUCUAAAUGGUCUGCCAGGAGGUUUCUACAAGGCGUUUUGGUCAGUGAUUGGUGAGGACCUGCUGGGUGUUCUCAGGGACAGUCUGGUGAAGGGCCAGUUGUCACUGAGUUGCAGGAGGGCGGUCUUCACACUAAAAAAGAAGACAGGAGAAGAACAGGAUGCCUGUGGCCCUCCUGUGUACUGAGUCAACAGGUUGAGAAGAGUGACAGAGCAGGUCAUUCAUGUGGACCAGACAUACUGUGUCUCCGGUUCAGUUCACUGAACUGUCCAUUUCCAUAGACCAAGGGAAGGCAUUUCAUAGGCUGGACACACAUAUCUGUGUGACGUUGGAUAGUUGUGGGUUCAGCUCUGAUCUUAUUGCUAAGAUCCAGACCUUGUAUGGACACAUUGAGAGUGUAAUUAAAAGUGGUUUGAGUGCUUGUUUCAAAG